UAAAGGUACACAAAUAAAAUAUAUUUAGAGGUCAGUAUAUGAAGAUGGGAAGCAACGUGAUUAGCACCGACUUGUGUUUAACUGAUCAUCCUGUCUCUCCUGGCAGCCCGUUUCGGAAAUUCUCAGUGCCAGCUGUACCUACCGUUUCAAUGAUGAAGAAACUGGUACAGAGCCCAGGGCAGACAACCAGUAACUGAUGGAGCCAGAAUUUGAACUGGGCAGCCUGGCUCUGGAAGGGGAGGUCUCACCUAGUCCCUUGUGAAUGUAGGUAAAGGGGUAAGCCAGGCAUCAAUCAAGGGCAAGUCUCAUAGGCAUUUUCAUUUAUUUUCCCCCGAAUAACGACUCCCCCCUCCUAGUAUCUGCAGGGGAGAUGCUCUUAGUUCUGCAAAUAAUUCACAUUGCUUAAGUUUUUGUGAUUCUGUUGUGUACAUUUGUGUAUUCUCUGUUGUUUUUAAUAGCUUGCGGUAGGUCUCAGUGAUCUUGAUCCUAGGAAUACAGAUAGGCUUUAGGGGAUCUGUGAACCCUCUGAAAAUGUCUGAUUUUAUACUUAUGGGAAAGGGGCAUUAUUCUGGGAGAGAGAAUCUGCAACUUACGUCUGAUUCUUAAAGGGUCACCUGUGGUGGGGAGCAAGGUUAGAAAUGCCCAUUCUCUUCCAAUAAUCUCAUGUUAUAAAUGAGGCAGCGGAGGGCCCGUGGAGAGGCGGAAUAACUUAAUCUUAACUACACAGCUUAUUCAAAGUAGAAAGGGAGCUAUAACUCGGGUCCCCUGGUCUCAUCUUUCCAUCACACGCCCAUAUCUCCCUUUGGAAUAAGUGGUGCCAGGUGAAUAAAUUAUGAGAUGCCAAAGACUCCCUGCUCUCCCUCGAGGCUGCCCCAGUGUAGUGAG
Molecule: long non-coding RNA, 885 nt
Filed under: Mustela putorius furo (domestic ferret)
Lineage: Eukaryota; Metazoa; Chordata; Mammalia; Carnivora; Mustelidae
Description: lncRNA (ENSMPUG00000029395.1)
Source: RNAcentral